ACUCCGCUAGCACAACUGGCAGAUGCGUCGGAUUUUGGUUCCGAAUGUUCCAGGUUCGAAUCCUGGGCGGAGUGC
RNAcentral lists this transfer RNA (75 nucleotides) under Microbacterium phage Cece. Its description in RNAcentral is "tRNA-Gln". It matches the Rfam family "tRNA". Rfam says of the family: Transfer RNA (tRNA) molecules are approximately 80 nucleotides in length. Their secondary structure includes four short double-helical elements and three loops (D, anti-codon, and T loops). Lineage: Duplodnaviria; Heunggongvirae; Uroviricota; Caudoviricetes. The record is from RNAcentral.